CAGGGAGACAACAAAAUGUUAAAUAUUAAUUUUGUCACCUUAGGUCGAUCGGUAUCUCACAUUCUUAAUUAUUAAGGAUUUUAUUUCCUAAGUUUUUUCUAGGUCACACCCAUCACUUUUCCUGGGCCAUUAGCUCAGGUGGUUAGAGCGCACCCCUGAUAAGGGUGAGGUCCCUGGUUCAAGUCCAGGAUGGCCCAUAUCUCUAUGUUGGGGGUAUAGCUCAGUUGGUAGAGCGCCUGCUUUGCAAGCAGGAUGUCAGCGGUUCGAGUCCGCUUACCUCCACUGAAUCACCACCUCUUCCAUAAUUUAUAGAAGGGAAAUGUUAUGAGUUGUGAUCAAAUUCUGAACGAAUCUAGCUUCCUAAUUAAACUCAUUAAGAUGCUGGACUCAUUGAAUUAAAUUCAUUGUUUUCAGAGAACCUUGACAACUGCAUAGAUUUUUUUUAAAGACAAUAAGCAUCUUUAAUGAUGCAGAUUUAUUAUUUGUGCGAAUGCAUUAAUAACAAUUCUAUUAAGCUGAUGCUUCAA
This 527-nucleotide transfer RNA is filed under the name uncultured Prochlorococcus sp. RNAcentral's name for it is "partial 16S-23S ribosomal RNA intergenic spacer". The stretch from base 210 to 282 matches the Rfam family "tRNA". The record is from RNAcentral. Lineage: Bacteria; Bacillati; Cyanobacteriota; Cyanophyceae; Synechococcales; Prochlorococcaceae.